RNAcentral lists this ribosomal RNA (880 nucleotides) under uncultured bacterium. Its description in RNAcentral is "bacterial SSU rRNA". It matches the Rfam family "Bacterial small subunit ribosomal RNA", at positions 21 to 901 of the family's 1533-position model. The record is from RNAcentral.
GGCUCAGGAUGAACGCUAGCGGCAGGCUUAAUACAUGCAAGUCGAGGGGUAGCAGGGUAGCAAUACCGCUGACGACCGGCAAACGGGUGCGGAACACGUACACAACCUUCCUUUUAGUGGGGAAUAGCCCAGAGAAAUUUGGAUUAAUACCCCGUAAGAUAUUAGACCGGCAUCGGUUAGAUAUUAUAGGUUUACCGCUAAGAGAUGGGUGUGCGGCUGAUUAGGUAGUUGGCGGAGUAACAGCCCACCAAGCCAACGAUCAGUAGCUGAUGUGAGAGCAUGAUCAGCCACACGGGCACUGAGACACGGGCCCGACUCCUACGGGAGGCAGCAGUAAGGAAUAUUGGACAAUGGACGCAAGUCUGAUCCAGCCAUGCCGCGUGAAGGAUUAAGGCCCUCUGGGUUGUAAACUUCUUUUAUAGGGGACGAAAAAAGGGCUUUCUAGCUCGACUGACGGUACCCUAUGAAUAAGCACCGGCUAACUCCGUGCCAGCAGCCGCGGUAAUACGGAGGGUGCAAGCGUUAUCCGGAUUCACUGGGUUUAAAGGGUGCGUAGGCGGGCAUUUAAGUCAGUGGUGAAAUCUUCGAGCUCAACUCGGAAACUGCCAUUGAUACUAUUUGUCUUGAAUAUUGCGGAGGUGAGCGGAAUAUGUCAUGUAGCGGUGAAAUGCUUAGAUAUGACAUAGAACACCAAUUGCGUAGGCAGCUCGCUACACAUAUAUUGACGCUGAGGCACGAAAGCGUGGGGAUCAAACAGGAUUAGAUACCCUGGUAGUCCACGCCCUAAACUAUGAUUACUCGACAUAUGCGAUACACUGUAUGUGUCUGAGCGAAAGCAUUAAGUAAUCCACCUGGGAAGUACGAUCGCAAGAUUGAAACU